Molecule: unclassified non-coding RNA, 305 nt
Filed under: plant metagenome
Description: partial contains 5.8S ribosomal RNA, internal transcribed spacer 2, and large subunit ribosomal RNA
Rfam family: 5.8S ribosomal RNA (bases 1-105)
Source: RNAcentral
GAAAUGCGAUAAGUAAUGUGAAUUGCAGAAUUCAGUGAAUCAUCGAAUCUUUGAACGCACAUUGCGCCCGCCAGUAUUCUGGCGGGCAUGCCUGUUCGAGCGUCAUUUCAACCAUCAAGCCCCCGGCUUGUGUUGGGGACCUGCGGCUGCCCCCAGGCCCUGAAAAACAGUGGCGGGCUCGCUGUCACACCGAGCGUAGUAGCAUACAUUCUCGCUCAGGGCGUGCUGCGGGUUCCGGCCGUUAAACGACCUUCAUAACCCAAGGUUGACCUCGGAUCAGGUAGGAAGACCCGCUGAACUUAAGC